CUGCCCCAAGGCAGGAGUGGAAGAGACACCUUGCGGUUGGUGGUGCUCUUUUAUCAGUCAGGGCAGACAGCAGUCCUUUGUUCAUCCUAGCUUGAUGUCUGGUUUGGAGGCCAAAGCUGUCUUAUGCCUAGGACUCAUAA
This is a non-coding RNA of Arvicanthis niloticus (Nile rat), 140 nucleotides long. The record is from RefSeq and is a predicted model, not a curated record. Lineage: Eukaryota; Metazoa; Chordata; Mammalia; Rodentia; Muridae.